This 368-nucleotide unclassified non-coding RNA is filed under the name fungal sp. RNAcentral describes it as "partial internal transcribed spacer region". The stretch from base 1 to 46 matches the Rfam family "Eukaryotic small subunit ribosomal RNA", at positions 1786 to 1831 of the family's 1831-position model. The record is from RNAcentral. Lineage: Eukaryota; Fungi.
AAGUCGUAACAAGGUUUCCGUAGGUGAACCUGCGGAAGGAUCAUUAACACAUUUUGAUUCAUCAAAACGUAUUUUGCUUUCUAGUUGCUUUUUCCUCUAGGGGAAGGUGACGAGAAAGCAAAAUUCAACCCCCUUUCUAUGACGAACUAUUUGAACAAAAAUGGGACGAAAUUGGUUUUGCUUCAGUCAAAAUUUCUAAAUGCUGAAAUCUUGACUGAGACCGUUUCAACCGUUUUUUUCUUAUACCUCAUUUUUUUUACCCCUAUUACAACUUUUAUAGUCUGAAACAAAAUUAUUGCAUUCUAGGAUAAAAUCUAGAAUCUAAAUAACUAAGAAAACAACUCUUAGCAACGGAUAUCUAGGUUCUC